CACGUAGGGCGCAAGCGUUGUCCGGAAUUAUUGGGCGUAAAGAGCUCGUAGGCGGUCUGUUGCGUCCGCUGUGAAAACCCGGGGCUUAACCCCUGGCUUGCAGUGGAUACGGACAGACUAGAGGUAGGUAGGGGAGAAUGGAAUUCCCGGUGUAGCGGUGAAAUGCGCAGAUAUCGGGAGGAACACCGGUGGCGAAGGCGGUCUCUGGGCCUUACCUGACGCUGAGGAGCGAAAGCGUGGGGAGCGAACAGG
RNAcentral lists this ribosomal RNA (252 nucleotides) under uncultured bacterium. Its description in RNAcentral is "partial 16S ribosomal RNA". It matches the Rfam family "Bacterial small subunit ribosomal RNA", at positions 524 to 776 of the family's 1533-position model. The record is from RNAcentral.